UGGCUCAGGACGAACGCUGGCGGCGUGCCUAAUACAUGCAAGUCGUGCGAAGCAGAUCUCGUGGCUUGCCAUGGGAUUGACUGAGCGGCGGACGGGUGAGUAACACGUGGGUAAUCUGCCUACAAGACCGGGACAACUCUGGGAAACCGGGGGCUAAUACCGGACGGACCCUCGGGAUGAUGUUCCGAGGGGGAAGGUGGCCUCUGCUUGCAAGCUACCGCUUGUAGAUGAGCCCGCGGCCCAUUAGCUAGUUGGUGGGGUAAAGGCCUACCAAGGCGACGAUGGGUAGCCGGUCUGAGAGGAUGACCGGCCACACUGGGACUGAGACACGGCCCAGACUCCUACGGGAGGCAGCAGUCGGGAAUAUUGGGCAAUGGACGAAAGUCUGACCCAAGCGACGCCGCGUGGGGGACGAAGGCCUUCGGGUCGUAAACCCCUGUCUUCGGGGACGAACGGUGGAUGGGACAACACCCCAUCCAAGUGACGGUACCCGAGGAGGAAGCCCCGGCUAACUACGUGCCAGCCGCCGC
RNAcentral lists this ribosomal RNA (530 nucleotides) under uncultured bacterium. Its description in RNAcentral is "bacterial SSU rRNA". It matches the Rfam family "Bacterial small subunit ribosomal RNA", at positions 20 to 518 of the family's 1533-position model. The record is from RNAcentral.